Molecule: ribosomal RNA, 17 nt
Filed under: Peziza fruticosa
Lineage: Eukaryota; Fungi; Ascomycota; Pezizomycetes; Pezizales; Pezizaceae
Description: partial 28S ribosomal RNA
Source: RNAcentral
UAUGGGUGACCUCAGAU